Molecule: non-coding RNA, 26 nt
Filed under: Rattus norvegicus (Norway rat)
Lineage: Eukaryota; Metazoa; Chordata; Mammalia; Rodentia; Muridae
Source: RNAcentral
UGGUUAAAUGUUGGGACCCUGGCUAC